GUCUCAGGCCGUAUCAGCCUGAAGGCGCCCGAUCUCGUCUGAUCUCGGAAGCUAAGCAGGGUCGGGCCUGGUUAGGAUCUGGGAUGGGAGACCACCUGGGAACUCCCGGGUGCUCGAGGUC
This 121-nucleotide ribosomal RNA is filed under the name Bison bison bison. The record is from RNAcentral. Lineage: Eukaryota; Metazoa; Chordata; Mammalia; Artiodactyla; Bovidae.